UUGAAGUCUUUUAUGACUGAGUGGCGGACGGGUGAGUAACGCGUGGGUAACCUGCCUCAUACAGGGGGAUAGCAGCUGGAAACGGCUGGUAAUACCGCAUAAGCGCACAGUACCACAUGGUACAGUGUGAAAAACUCCGGUGGUAUGAGAUGGACCCGCGUCUGAUUAGCUGGUUGGCGGGGUAACGGCCCACCAAGGCGACGAUCAGUAGCCGACCUGAGAGGGUGACCGGCCACAUUGGGACUGAGACACGGCCCAGACUCCUACGGGAGGCAGCAGUGGGGAAUAUUGCACAAUGGAGGAAACUCUGAUGCAGCGACGCCGCGUGAGUGAAGAAGUAGUUCGCUAUGUAAAGCUCUAUCAGCAGGGAAGAUAGUGACGGUACCUGACUAAGAAGCUCCGGCUAAAUACGUGCCAGCAGCCGCGGUAAUACGUAUGGAGCAAGCGUUAUCCGGAUUUACUGGGUGUAAAGGGAGUGUAGGUGGCCAGGCAAGUCAGAAGUGAAAGCCCGGGGCUCAACCCCGGGACUGCUUUUGAAACUGCAGGGCUAGAGUGCAGGAGGGGCAAGUGGAAUUCCUAGUGUAGCGGUGAAAUGCGUAGAUAUUAGGAGGAACACCAGUGGCGAAGGCGGCUUGCUGGACUGUAACUGACACUGAGGCUCGAAAGCGUGGGGAGCACACAGGAUUAGAUACCCUGGUAGUCCACGCCGUANACGAUGAAUACUAGGUGUCGGGGCACAUAAGUGCUCCGGUGCCGCAGCAAACGCAAUAAGUAUUNCACCUGGGGAGUAC
RNAcentral lists this ribosomal RNA (791 nucleotides) under uncultured bacterium. RNAcentral's name for it is "bacterial SSU rRNA". It matches the Rfam family "Bacterial small subunit ribosomal RNA", at positions 74 to 883 of the family's 1533-position model. The record is from RNAcentral.